Molecule: long non-coding RNA, 1780 nt
Filed under: Cyanistes caeruleus (blue tit)
Lineage: Eukaryota; Metazoa; Chordata; Aves; Passeriformes; Paridae
Description: lncRNA (ENSCCEG00000022418.1)
Source: RNAcentral
CUACAUAAGCAGAACUUUUGGAAUUUAAGAGUCUCAUAACUACCUGAUCCUAAUAUACCUAAAAAUGUGUUUGCAACUUUCAGCUUAACACUGUGUGACUUCAAUCCCAGCAUUAAGCUCACCUGUCUCAGAGCUCAGCAUCUCCCUAGGUGAGCACAAGCUCACACAGUUUUAUCUUUUGUGAAGAACCCUUAUUUUUCCUUACCAACCAGAGAGUGAGAGGCAGGCUGCCCACAGAAGUUGUGAUCAGAAAUGGAUGUGUCAGCUGUUAUCACCGAACUUGCAGGGAUGUAAUCAUAGCUGCUUCUGUGUGCCAGAAGAAAUUGGAAUGUUUACAGCUUUUCUGCGCAGCAGGAAGGGAACAAUCACAAGUGAAAUACAAACGUUCAGUCACAUGGAAAAAUACAUGCAAAAAGCACAGAAGUGUGCACAGGCAUGUGCUCACACUCAGAAAAAGAGGAUGCUAAAGGGAACAAGCAGAAAAUGCGUUUGCAGGUAGAAAAUGUGACCAAAGAAGAAGAACCUUUGGGAGCAGAGGACAAGAUCCCAGAUCACUCAGAAAAUCAAACAUCCUCAUCAGCUGCCCACAGCCAUCUUUUGAUGUUGUCAGCAGCAAAUCAUCCUGUCUCUGCUGGUGUGGUGGGAAGCAGGCUGCAGUGGAAGCAGAGACAUUCAGGUAUGUGUUUUCUUGUUGUGGGGCUUUGCUGCUGCAGGGGUGAGGACAGGCUGUGCUGUGCUCACUCAAGAGGCAGUGCUCUGAAUCCAGAUCUCAGGAGAUAAAACGGCCCCAUACCAACAAAAAGACACCCAGUUUAAAUUGUGAUGACACCUCACCAUCAGGCUGACAUCCUUAGGGACAGGAUGAAAUACCUGCUGCCUGCUGUCUGCAAAUCAAGUCAAAACAAGAGCCACAUUUCAAACAAAAUACCUAAAGCACACGGGAAAAAUGGAAGUGUUGGGAAGACAGUUGAUUGAUAGGGAGAUAUCUUUGGAGUGCACCAUUCAAUUGCAUCAUUUAUAUUUCAUUAAGCAUGAAAUUAUGUUUAUAAUUGUAUUAGACAACUCUGUGCGAGAUAUUAGCUCAUAAGCCCAGACUGAAUUAAAAGAAUUAUUAAUUAUUACUCUGUUUUUUUCAUUUUUAAUGAAAUUAUGCUUCUGAAUUCAGAGCAUUGGUGAAGGUGUCUUUAAUUCAUAAAAAUAUCACUUUGGCUAUUGUGUAACUGGGAGGAUAGGAGUGGGUGUUAUUUAAUGCAAACACUAUUUCAUCCAGGGAUGCACUGCUUGUAAUCUAUGUGGAGAAUGGAGAUUCUCUGCUCCAAAAUGGAAAAAUGGCCAAUGGCAGGGAGAUGGUGCAGAAGCCUCAAUCACAGGGAUGGCCACGCAGUGUGCAGGGGAACCCAUGAUGAGGAGACCAAAAACACAGCAAGAGUUUAUAAAAAGAUAGUAAUAUAAAAAACCCCAAAUCCUGCAAAAAAUUAUGGGAAGCAGAAAACAAUCUGAAGCUCAGGAGAUGUGAGAAAAUAACAGGGAGCACCAGAGAGGGAGGCAGAGGGCAGGUAUCUCCUGGUAGCUGGGAUCUGUGGUUCUGUGCUGCCCAUUGCUUUGUGUGCCCUCAGCCAGCACCACCAGACCUGGGGAUGAUGUGUCACAGUGCCAAAAGUGACAAAAAUGGCCAGCUGGCAGCCAGCCCUUCUUGCUGGGAUCAUCCACAAACCCCUGUGUGAUGGAGAGGGAACGAUGGCUUGCAGCAAAUUGAGACCCUCUCUGUGGUUUGUCCAGA